CCUACGGGAGGCAGCAGUGAGGAAUAUUGGUCAAUGGACGCAAGUCUGAACCAGCCAUGCCGCGUGCAUGAAGACGGCUCUCUGAGUUGUAAACUGCUUUUGUACGAGGGUAAACGCAGAUACGCGAAUAUGUCUGAAAGUCUAGUAAGAAUCAGGACCGGCUAACUCUGCGCCAGCAGCCGCGGUAAUACGGAGGAUUCAAGCGUUAUCCGGAGUUAGUGGGUGUAAAGGGUGCGUAGGCGGUCGGAUAAGUUAGAGGUGAAAUCCCGAGGCUCAACUUCGGAAUUGCUUCUGAUACUGUUCGGCUAGAGCGUAGUAGCGGUAAGCGGAAUGUAUGGUGUAGCGGUGAAAUGCGUAGAGAUCAGACAGAACACCGGUGGCGAAGGCAGCUUAC
Molecule: ribosomal RNA, 394 nt
Filed under: uncultured bacterium
Lineage: Bacteria
Description: partial 16S ribosomal RNA
Rfam family: Bacterial small subunit ribosomal RNA
Source: RNAcentral